AAGUUGCCUCCACCAGGCUUGGGCCCCAGCUUUCUCCUGUUAAUUGAGAUAAUGACCCAACUCCAAGAGCUGCUUCAGCUUGAAAGGGGCUUUGAGAUGCUGGGAUGAAAGGCGCUGGGUUGAGUACAAAGCACAGGGCAAGCUGUCCUGGGAGUGGGAGGCCUGGCCCGGGGCCUUCCCCGGCCCCCAUGCUGAGUCACUUCCUCCCUCCUGGCUGGAUUUUGCCUCUGUAACCCAGAGACACUGAACCCUCCUUUCAGGACGGCGUCUUGGGGGAUGUUCCCAGAGAGCGUGUGCAGGAUGCAGGCCUGGCAUCAACCUCGACUCACCACCAAAGGGCCCCAAGCCGGGAGGGGAGGGAGGUGUGUUGGCCUUGAUGCUGUGGGGCAGAUGCUACCACGCAUUUAUAGCUUCAUGACUCUCCUCUUAACUUGUCUGGGAGAGCGACGACUCAGGGAUGAGCAUCCCUCUGUUACACUUGAAGAAACUGAGGACCAAAGAGGUGGGAGGUUUCCCAAGGUCUCACAGCCCACCCGAGGAGAGAGCAGAUCCGAAGCCUCUGGCUCCCCACAUCCUUCCCCCAGAGGGCAGCCAGCCCCCCAUUACUCAUUCCUUUAAACAUGAGGCUCUCAUAGGAGCUUCACAGGACUGCACUGCACUUUGUAUUACCAGGGCUCUGAGGGAAGCACCAAUACUAGCUUUGCCUUCAAGGAAUUGCUCGACUAGUGUCUCUUUACUGGUCAUAAAGUAAAGGGUGAAGGAAAAAAAAAACAGUUGAACAAGGGAGUGAAGUCUUCUGGAAGGUCAGCGUGGAGAGGUGACAGCUGCCAAGGAAAGAUUCCCACGAUGGCCUCUGCCAAUGGAUUAGAACCGAGAAGUCAUCCAAGCAAGGCUGCUCCUGCUGGUCUUCAGGUGCCCUCCUUGAGACCGAGCUCCCCAGACCGGGCUGCUGGGGUUCCCUGCACCUGGUGGACCUCAAUUUCUCCCUCCUGAGGGACAGGGGUUCCCAUUCGGUGUGCCUACCAGUAGGUAGCAGUUCACAAGGCCCACUCUGAGCCAGUCCUGUGCUCAGAGAAACAAGGCAGGGUUCCCACCCUCACAGUAAAGCCGCCCAGUCUGACGGGGACGUGAUCCCAGACAGAAGGAAGGACGUCCAGGCCACGUGCUGUGGGGGCCACAGAAGGAAGGACCCACCAACUGAAGGCCCAGGAGGUUACAUGCUUGUGCUUUGGAACCGAGACCUCCCCCUUUCCGCUGUUUAAGCAUCUGCCCCCAAUUCAAGGCCGCUCCGUAAACUAACUAGACCUAGAUGGACCCAAAUCAAGCUCUAAGCAGGUUCUUCCCCUGGGAGCUUUCUCAUCCCUGGAAACCCAAAAAGGGUAAUAGCACGAGUCACCCUUGGGAGCAAGUUCUCAGACAUGAAGUCUCUGAGCAGCCCUGGCCCAGAGGGUGCACUCAGGAUGGGGCACUGUUACUUCACUUCUGGGACUUUCAAAUCCACGCUUGUUAGAAAGCAGUGGGAAGCGUUUGUGUGAACCGUGAAGAACCCUUCUAAAGCAAAGGCGGUUAAAGCCGCAGGUGUGGCUGGGGAAGGCCUUUACGAGAGGCUUACUGCGCUCAGCUGUGGCGGCGGCUUGGGUGGAGCCUGGCCUGAGGCGGGGGCUCCCUGUCCAGACCUCUCAGGUUUCCGCUCAGCGUGGGCAGCUCUGGAGGCUGCGGGGAGGGUACAGAACGGAGGAGGAGCGUGAGGAGCCUGUCCCUAUUUUCCUGGGCACGGGGCUCACUCCUGGCACUAGUCCUUCCUGGGGCCCCAGCUCCAGCUUGUUAGUUUUAACUGGAACAAUUUCCUUUGAACUCAGCUUGAAUUAGCAUCACCAUGGCGAUGGAUCAGAGUUUUCACAAGUCGACCUGGUCUUCACCCCUCAAGCAAUUAGUUCGGAGGAGAAAAGUAGGAGGAGGAGGAGGAAGAAGAGGUGGGGAAGAUAAAAGGGUGGCAUGGGGGAUGGGAGGGAGCAGGGAGGAAUGGAACUGGAGAGAAGGAGGAGGGGACAGUAGGGGUGGAGGGGAUGGCUGCCAGAUGAGGAGGGGGAGACGGGAAGAACUGGAGGGAGGAGGGAGAAGAAGAGAAGGAGGGUCAUUCUGACCUGCUGGCUUAGCCUAGGCACGCAGGGGGCACAGUACCCCCCUCCAUGGCCCCACCUAUGGGGAAGGGAGAGAAGCAUGAGGACCGAGCAGCAGCCUUCCACAGGUAGCCUGGGAGGAAAGGUCCACUGUUCACACUUUCUCAGGGGAGACCCAGCAGCCCAACGCCACAAGGUCACUCCCAGGCAGCAAGCUCACCUUCAGCCCCUCCCUCCUGCAGGGACCAGGCUGUGGUAACAAUGGAGAAAGGGGAAGAGCAAACCAGAAUCUUCCAGAAUUUAAUGGAGUUGAGGAUCACUCUUUCUCCAAGACUCUGUCCGUCCCCACCUCCUCCAGGAGGCCCUUGGAUCACCUGCCACCUCUCCAGGCUCCUCACCCCCCGGGACCCUGCCAUCAUCUGUCACCAGCUUCACCCUCAGACCAACCAACAGGAAGCAAUCCUAGAUGGAGACAGGUGAUGAUACGAAAGGCUUGUCCUUGAGGAAACACAUUUAUAUGGAGCAGCCACGGCGUCGCCUUUGUCUAGAGCACCCUGGAGGAGUGUGGGCACAAUAGGCCGGAGGCGAAAGUGCCUUAAUCAGUUAUCCUCUCCCAGGAGCCCCCUUCCACCCUUUGGAGGGUGACCAGGCCAAUGCCCAGGGUCUCACUGUUGCUGGAGAACAGCUCAUGCGACUUUAGGGCCAAAGAGGUAGGCAGGGACUGAGAGAGACUCCUGAGAGCUACCCACCCCUUUCCCGAGCCCAGCCGGCAAGAUGAAUGCCUUGCCGAGGUUUCACUUUCAACUUUCUCCCCUUGGAGGGAGGUUUUAUCUCGGCCAUCACCACCCAGGAAGGCCUGGAAGCACAGCGGGGUGCUCCAGGGCAUCUGCAGCAUUUCAGCCUGCUGCACGCUUGUGCUGAGCUCCGGCUAAGGCCCCACCGUCCCAGCUGGAGACAUCUGAAGACUCCCAGCCCUGGGGUUGAAAGCUCCAGGACUGCGCGGAGGGGCUGCACAGUCCGCAGAGCCCUGGUGCCCGGCCGGGAGGAGGGAUCUUUGGGUUCUGGUCUUGACUUCCUGGGACCCCUGUGGAGCAGGGGAUCCUGUUGGAGCCAGAUCGAGUCAGAUGGCUCAGGCUCCUCGGGGAAGGGGCAGAGCAGCAGGAGGGACCCCACCCAGACAGACAGAGCAGUGGGGUUGGCACAAGCUCUGGACUCUGACAUGUGGCAUUUCAGCCCCGACUCUGCCACUGACCAGCUCUGCUACCUUGGGCUAGUCAGUUCUGCGCCACAGUUUCUCAUCUCUAAGACGGAGACAGUUAUCAGCACUCUGCCCUCUUCAGAGCGAUGCCGCGGGGAUCGAUGAGACGAGAGAAUAAAGGAGUUUGAGCUGCACACAUGAGGCAGAUGAGGCCAUUCCCUCUUCCCUGCAGCCCAGGAUGUGACAGCAGGAGGGACUAGAAAGGCCCUGCACUCAGGAGUAAUUCGGAGGCUCCUGUUUCUCCACAAGGGUCCGGGGUCUGAGUCCCAGCUCCCCUGCUCACGAGCUAGGGAACCUUGACCCAGACAUCUCAGCUCUCUGGGUCUUUGUUGCCUCUUAAUCUUUAAACUGGGAGAGGAAGAGCUGGGACUAAAUGAUUGCCAACCUCUGCAUUUGGUCCCUGGUCCCUCCAACGCAGAUUCCAAGGUCUGAAUUCCCCCUGCUAUCCUCUCUUACUCUCAGCCAAAGGGCGACUGGGGUAGAGGGCACGGGGCUCCUGGUGAACGCGCCCGCUGGCAGGCAGCUGAGAACGGCUGCAGAUGGGGACAGAGGACAGGACUCACCAAGUGCCAGGGAUGGCAAAGGACCCAAAAUGAGCCUACAACCACUCCUUAUAUCACAUGGGCAAGAGAUGGGGCCUUGGAGAUGCCAAAGGGGGAGGCUCCUUUGUUCUGCGGCUCCUUGUGCUAUCUGUCUGUCCUUUCAUUCCAUCUUCCAUUUUCAUUCACUCGCCUGUGCCUGCUGUAAACAUUGAUAAAGCCGUUACAGCACGUCAGGCACCGUCCUGGGUGUUGGGAAUACAGAAUUGAGUAAGUUCACAGCCUCAUGGGGGCCAACGAGAGAUAUAAACAGACGGUUCCUACCCAGAUUGAGCAGUGCUGGGAGAGCAGCCUGCGCUGGGGGCCGCCGGGCACGGAGGAGGGCCUGCGCCCAGCCGCGUGGGACAGCUCCUUCCUCAGACCUCUCACUCAGCUUGCGGAGACGAUGGGAAAAUACAGACGUUGCUUGGUGCCCAACAGCUUAGAGGGUGGUAAAGAAAAAAAAUGCCCGAGAGAAAGGUUACGGGGUAGGAUAAUUAAUGUUUUGCUAAGGAGGAAAAUAUUACUGUGUGUUGCUCAGCAUGCAAACACCUCAACUAACAAAAUGGCUGGGAGAAAACAAGUGGAACUGCAGGAUUUUUCUCACAAAGAUUAAAAGAAAAGAAAAAGACAGCAGUCACAGACAUACCUCCUCCCGUGGCUGAAAGAAUGUUCCCCGCCAGGUGAGGAAAGCAAGGCCCAGCGCUGGGAAGGGCCCAGCUGCCGCUCCUUCCUGGACGAAGGCCGGCCCAGCACACAAACCCCGCACCCCAGCCCCUGGCCCACUGCCAUUUCAUGUUAAGGCUCUCCUCUCAGUGUCUGAGGCCCGGGGAGCUGCUGUACACACUGCUUGACCAUUGUAAGGAAGAAGAGAUUUCUAAUUCCAGAGGGUGCAUCCAGC
Long non-coding RNA from Equus caballus (horse), 4857 nucleotides. NCBI's taxonomy places the organism in Eukaryota, Metazoa, Chordata, Mammalia, Perissodactyla, Equidae. The record is from Ensembl.